CAAUAGCGUAUAUUAAAGUUGUUGCAGUUAAAAAGCUCGUAGUUGGAUUUCUGAUCGAGACAUCAGGUCGGGUCCGAGAGGAUCAUGUACUUUGAUUUUGUUUUGAUCAUCCUUGGGGAGAGCGUUUCUGGCAUUCAGUUGUCGGGAUUGGGAUCCUCAUCGUUUACUGUGAAAAAAUUAGAGUGUUCAAAGCAGGCCUCGGCCUCUGAAUACAUUAGCAUGGAAUAAUAAGAUAGGACUUUGGUGGUCUAUUUUGUUGGUUUGCACGCCAAAGUAAUGAUUAAUAGGGAUAGUUGGGGGUAUUCGUAUUCAAUUGUCAGAGGUGAAAUUCUUGGAUUUAUGGAAGACGAGCUACUGCGAAAGCAUUUACCAAGGAUGUUUUCAUUAA
RNAcentral lists this ribosomal RNA (388 nucleotides) under uncultured eukaryote. Its description in RNAcentral is "partial 18S ribosomal RNA". It matches the Rfam family "Eukaryotic small subunit ribosomal RNA", at positions 592 to 976 of the family's 1831-position model. The record is from RNAcentral.